RNAcentral lists this ribosomal RNA (480 nucleotides) under uncultured soil bacterium. RNAcentral describes it as "bacterial SSU rRNA". It matches the Rfam family "Bacterial small subunit ribosomal RNA", at positions 26 to 490 of the family's 1533-position model. The record is from RNAcentral.
AGAACGAACGCUGGCGGCGUGUUUAAGACAUGCAAGUCGAACGGGUUGAAGUUGUAGCAAUACCGCCUCAACCAGUGGCGCACGGGUGCGUAACACGUGAGUUACAUGCCCUGCAGUGGGGAAUAGCCCGCCGAAAGGCGGAUUAAUACCCCAUGGUCCCGCAAGGGUAAAGGUGGCCGCAAGGCUGCCGCUGCAGGAUUGGCUCGCGGCCUAUCAGCUUGUUGGUGAGGUAACGGCUCACCAAGGCAACGACGGGUACCUGGUCUGAGAGGAUGAUCAGGCACACUGGAACUGAGACACGGUCCAGACACCUACGGGUGGCAGCAGUCGAGAAUAAUUCACAAGUGGGGGAAACCCUGGAACUGGUGCAACGCCGCGUGGAGAGUGAAGGUCUUCGGAUUGUAAACUCUGUCAGUCGGGAGUAAGACCGUGACGGUAAAGUAGCCGGACAGGGUUGAAGUACGUACCCGAAGGAGGAAA